CGUGCAUACAGACUAUCUACCAUGUGCAAGCGCAUGGAAUGGUCCGGCGUCAUAUGUAAAAGCACCCGGACAUUGUAUUGAAAAUUUCCGAGAUCAGUUUUCCAUGAUGCAUGCCAACCAGUUUAUUUGGAUGCCUUAUCUCCAACGGCAGUUGCCGGAAAGUUGUGAUGCCGGUCGUCCUGUAUGGAUGUCGAUAACAACGCUUAUUUGCUGGAAUCUGGCUGAGCCACACCUGCCGCACCGAGUGUUGCGCCAAUUUGGGAUUGUCC
Molecule: long non-coding RNA, 269 nt
Organism: Salvia splendens (bonfire salvia)
Lineage: Eukaryota; Viridiplantae; Streptophyta; Magnoliopsida; Lamiales; Lamiaceae
Exons: 3
Source: RefSeq, a predicted model, not a curated record